UGAACGGUUCAGAUUAAAAAGGUGUUUAUAACGUUUGCGUUCCUCCCGUCUUCCGUUGCGUUGGUCUCUCGUCCGUGGAAGAUAGAAAACAGGGCCUACCCGCCUCGUGAUUCAAUAUAGAAAUGGGCCCCGCUGUGAUUCCAUGCGUCAUGUGAACUCACAAAGCAGGUAAGAAAGUCGGUAAUUAAACUGGUAGACCAAUGCGUUCCAUGGUAUUCUUGACCCAACGACAAGUAACGAGGACUUAAGAUCCGACGCUUAUGGGUGUUCUGAUGAGAUCUGACGGUGAGCAUACAAUGAUCUCCGCAGACGCACGUACGUGCGCUACUUCAAAUAAUCAUGAAGAAUCGCCUCCGCGCGCGCGCUGUUGCUUUUCCUAUCGCCUCUCUGUCUCGUCUCCCAGGAAAAGAGGGGAAAGGGGGAGACGCUUCGGAAGGGUGAAACCCUAAUCCCAUGUGGAUUCUUUAUUGAUUUCGAGUAAUCUUGUCUUCUUUUUUCGUAUUCUUUUCAUUUAUGUUGUUACCGAUCACAAGAUCCGAGCGGAUCGAUCGACUUCUGUGGCUCUCGUUUCGGUAGAUGUAUGUUUUCUCCUAGGGAUGGCCAUGAUCUUUGAUUCAGCAAUCCGUUGGUUUUCGUGUUUAUAUUUGAUCGAUCCGGAUGAGGUGGGUAUAAAUAAUUGUUGUUUGCCUGUAGAAAACUGUUCGAUCAGGUAGGUCUGCAAUGUUUUUAGGGCCGUCUUGUUCUAUGUGUUCGAUUUAGUAUAUGUAAUUAGAUCUCUUUUUCCGUAAGGUUUGUAGGUUGUCUCAUGGUUCUUCAAUUUCCUUCUACAUGUGGCUUUUGGGAUCCUGGGUUUCUUAGAUUUGUUGGCGUUUUAGAUCUUGAAUCUUGUAGCUUCUGUAGUGAUGACACUUCUCUUGAUCUGUUGUUUGCAUUCUGUAAUCAUGAAACAAUUACAUUCUUGAUCUGUGUUCUGGUUCUAAUUUCUUCGCCCAGUGACCUUCGAAGUUCAUUCUUUCUUUAUUGCUGAAAUGCCACAAAAGACAAAUGAAAAUGACAAUGAAUUUGGAGAUAUUAUAGUAGUGAUAUGUUGCUUGAAUGGUUGACAUGUAGGUCAUUUUGUCAGCAUGGCAUGGCGAAACAGGGUAAUUACCCGACUGUCAUGCAGAAAGUUGCUUGUCAACUCCACCUCAGGUCCACCUUUUCUCGAGAGAGGCUGCACAUAUGGGGUGUUUCAGAAGCCAUCGAUGCAGAAAAGGCGUUGCGAGCUUUGCUAUUGAUUUCCCUAUGGGAGGAGUUUCUGCUGUUGUUUCAAAGACGGCUGCAGCUACUAUUGAACGUGUGCUACUGCUGAUCGCCUCCUUUGCCGGAACAAUUAAAGAUGAAGGUGCUUUGUCUUUGUGGAGAGGGAACACAGCUAAUGAUGUCAUUUGUUAUUUUCCCACUCAGGUAAAUGUAUACGUGGUUAUGUUAUGUGUCAUAUGACCUCCGGAGAAGCUGUCAAGUAGCUGUUCGACGAUGCUGGCGCGAACAAACUCCGUGCCGUAGCUGGUUCUGGUGUUCUUGCCGGUUACGACAAGCAGCAGUUGAUUGUCUUCAAUAGUUUUCGGUAGUGGGAGCUGCUUCCUACAUUUCUGUCAGGUGGAGUUUUGCUCACCAAAAUCUUGGUUAAUCUAUGAUUAUUGGAUACUGCUGCGUUGCAGUGAUGUUCGCAAUAUGUUGCCUUUGUUCUACGAAUUCCUAAUUUUAUUUUUUUCCUUUUCUAUGGGAUGACAAUUGACAAGAGAUAAAAUUACUUUUGCAAUGCGUUAUUUUUCUCUCA
This is a long non-coding RNA of Musa acuminata AAA Group (dessert banana), 1819 nucleotides long. RefSeq lists it as uncharacterized. The record is from RefSeq and is a predicted model, not a curated record. NCBI's taxonomy places the organism in Eukaryota, Viridiplantae, Streptophyta, Magnoliopsida, Zingiberales, Musaceae. The transcript is spliced from 2 exons.